CUAAUAUAGAUAGCGUUCUAAAAACAGCUGAUACAAUUCGCAUAUAAUUUUGUAGUUUGAAUUUAGUUUGAUUAUUUGUUGGUUAAUUUGUUGUUUGUAAUAUCUUAAUUUUUAUUAAUAACUUUUAUAGUGUAAUAAUGACUCUUUCAAAUAUAUCAGGAAUACCAGAUAAACAUUGGCAACCUCCCUUUGUGGCUUUUGAGACAACUAUGGGUGAAAUAAUCAUUGAAUUAUAUUGGAAACAUGCACCUAUAACGUGUAGAAAUUUUGCUGAAUUGACACGUCGUGGAUAUUACAAUGGUACAAAGUUUCAUAGAAUAAUUCGCGAUUUUAUGAUACAAGGUGGAGAUCCAACCGCUACAGGAAAAGGUGGUAUGUCUAUAUAUGGAGAUAGUUUUGAUGAUGAAAUUCAUGAUGAUUUGAAACAUACUGGUGCUGGGAUAUUAUCCAUGGCAAACUCUGGACCAGAUACAAAUGGAUCUCAAUUUUUUAUUACAUUAGCACCUACGCAAUGGUUGGAUGGAAAGCAUACUAUAUUUGGGCGAAUUCAUUCUGGUAUGGCAAUAGUAAAAAGAAUUGGUCUUGUUGAAACAGAUAAAAAUGAUAGGCCUAUCGAUGAUGUUAAAAUUGUUAAAGGAUCAGUGAGAAAUGCGUGAAUCUGUUGAAUGAAAGAUUUGUAUUAUAACCAGUUGAUUUAAUUAAUAAGAUAGUAGAAGCAGGAGAUUAAAGUAAAUAUGGAUCAACUGGAGAAACCAGGAUUAGUAUGUUCUAUAACACAUCGACGACAAUAACGUUUAACUGCGCGGUAUCCAACCCAAGUUACUCUAGGGCAUUCUCCGAUAUUUAACUGUCUCAAACCACGCACGUAAUAUGCUAAUGCUUCCAGUCCAGCAUCUGUGAUUCGUUCGCAACCACAAAGAGAGAGCUUUUUCAAAUUAGGACAGCCCGUGGAAAGAGCCUCGAGUGUGACAUCACCGAUAUCGCAUUUUCC
Vespa velutina is the source of this 991-nucleotide RNA transcript. It is a transcript of the gene named peptidyl-prolyl cis-trans isomerase-like 1, with no coding region annotated. Lineage: Eukaryota; Metazoa; Arthropoda; Insecta; Hymenoptera; Vespidae. The record is from RefSeq and is a predicted model, not a curated record. The transcript has 5 exons.